This 118-nucleotide ribosomal RNA is filed under the name Triticum dicoccoides. The record is from RNAcentral. Lineage: Eukaryota; Viridiplantae; Streptophyta; Magnoliopsida; Poales; Poaceae.
GGAUGCGAUCAUACCAGCACUAAUGCACUGGAUCCCAUUAGAACUCCGAAGUUAAGCGUGCUUCGCGAGAGUAGUACUAGGAUGGGUGACCUCCUGGGAAGUCCUCGUGUUGCAUUCC